RNAcentral lists this long non-coding RNA (5497 nucleotides) under Homo sapiens (human). Its description in RNAcentral is "HSALNT0205160". The record is from RNAcentral. Lineage: Eukaryota; Metazoa; Chordata; Mammalia; Primates; Hominidae.
UUGUGACUGGGCCUCAUGCCAAACAACUCGUUACAAAAAGAACUAGGGUCCCAGACUGUGCCGAAGCUUCAUGAGAUCUCUCCUGUCUGUGCACGGACGAGUGGCCGACUCUGGAGCCCAGGGUGUUGCUUCCCGGUCUGGUAGUGAAUCGUCCAUAGUCUGGUGGAAGACGGAAAGAGAAAACCAUAUGAAAAAAAGACACAAAUUUCUAAAAAAGCAUCCUGUCUUUGAAGAGUGGCAAAUACUAUUCUGUUUUUGAGUACAGAAAUAGAUCCAACUUGGAAUUAUAAAACAGAAUGUGCCUCAUCACUUGGACUUAACCAUAUGACUUGCUUUGACCAAUAAAAUAUAAGUGGAAAUUCUACUAUGCUACUUCCAAGAAAAGUCUUAAAGAAGUCUGGAAAAUUUCCACAUCUCUCUAUACAUGUCCUCUGUCCCCAGUCAGAGGAAAACAUACUAGGAAGUUGUUAAUUCUUUAGCUCAGAUCCUGGAAUGAAGACACCUGGAGUAGACUUGAAAGUCUGAAGUCCAGCUGACCCCCAGCUCAAAUUAGUGAAAGUACAGUCCACCAGCCAACCUGCACAAUAUAUUUAACUGACUUCCAUCUUCAAGCAAAGAGUUGUUCUCCAAAUGGCAAUUGGAAUUUGCAGCAACCUGAGUGAGGAGAGAGAUAAAUUGAAUAAUUGUUAGGCAAAAAUGAACCAGAACUUGAAGACUUGGAAAAUUACCAGCCUAUUUAUAUUGCAAAAUAAUACCAAAGAAUUUUGGGAAGAGAACAUCAAGGAUAUUGCUGGGCUACAAAGAUCUGCUAGAAAGAUUACAGUUACCAUGGUGCUGCAACUGGCUGAACAUGCUGUUACUAUGGAAACAACAGUGUAUUUCUCUGCAUCUCAUACAUUUUGGUACAUUCUUCAGAUCUUUUCUUCACAUGUGCAUUUAUUUUCAUAUGACAAAUAUGUAAUUAAAAGUUCUAUAGUUCUUGAGCAAUUAGGGCAACUUAGACAAUAUUUUCAUACUUACAGAACAAUUGAAAAUUAAUGACAGAAUAUACACAAUAUUGUAUAUUUUUACUCAUCUUCGUAUUCAACCAAAAAUUAUCAGCUUACUUUUUGCAUGUGUUCUUUAUAGAAAUAACUUGUUUAUUUAAAAUAUUUUAUGAAAAAGUAUCACAUAUUUUCUUGGUGCUUCACCAACAAAAUCAACAAAAAUAUGUUUACUGGCAACACAAAAGGAAAAUAUAUUGAAAUAACUCUUAUGAUGCCUACUAGUUAAAAGGAAUAAAAUAUUUUUGUCACUGAGUCAACUCCAAUAAGAGAAAAUAAAAUUAUUCUAAGGAAUUAUAUAUAUAUUUUUUUCUGUGUGUAUCCUUCAUCUUUAUCAGUGCAUUUUUCUAUUGAUUGUAAUGAAAAUAUUUGCAAUUAAAAAUAAAUGUUGCCCUAAAAAUAAUAACUAACACUUACUGGGUAUUUUUUUGUAAUAUAAGAAAGCCAAUAAACAAUAAUUUUACAUAUAUUUUUCACGUAUCAGAUUUAGUGAAGAAAAUUCCUGUAAAUAUUCAUAUAUUACCAUUGUAGGCAUUAUCUUUUUAAUUAUACUACUUCUGGGUUUAUAUACUUUCCACUACCCUCCAUACAUACACUGAAAGACAUUCUGACUACUAAAUCAUAAUUCAUUACAACUUCCAGAGAAAUUAUAAUUAGGACUGUAACAAAACAUAUUUUUAACUGAAAAUGCAAACUGGAGAUCUGCAAUGAAGCCCAUUGUUGCACAAAAUUAUCUUUCUACUGAUGCUUAUUUCGUGUAGCAGGCUAUCAUCAGUUUAGAAAUAUUUACAAGUAUUUACUUGUCUGUAGAUGGCAUGAUGUUCUAGUCUUUCAUAAUCUAAAACACCUGUUUAAUAUACAUUUUACAUUUACCAAACCAUCAUGUGAAACACAAUUUUGAAGUUUAUUCAUUCGUGCUACCUAAAAUCGAUUUGACACUUUAUUUCAAAGAAUUAAACAUAUAAGGACAAAUGUAAAUUGAUGCUCCUUCUGUAUCUAAUUUAUCCUUUUAUAAGAAUUGCACAUUAAAGAAAUACACAUUUCCUUAAAAUUAAAUAUAGGUUAUUGAAUACGUUUAAUAUGUUAGAGAAAGACUGCAUUAGAAAUAAAUGUAGCAUUUAAAAAUAUAUUUCGUAGUCUGAGGCAUGCACUGAAGUGAUGAUUAUAUCCUUAUCUUGAUACAAUUAGGAAAUAUUUUUGCAUGUGAGGAUGCUCUUUAUGGAGGGUAAAUAUUUGGAGUUUGUCAUCUCGCGCCAAGAAGAUAAAAGAAAUGGACACACACAAGGAGUGAGUUUAGGAGAGUAGGUUUAAUAGGCAAAAGAAAGAGAAAGGAGAACAGCUCUCCCUCAGAAGACAGAGGGGCCCACGAAAGGGAAAUCUGGCCCACUGCAGAGUGCACCAGAUUUUAUAAGUAGGCUUGAGGAGGUGGAUUCUGAUUUACAUAAGGCCCACAGAUUGGUUGGACCAGGUGUGACAUAAUAAUCUUGCAUAAUCUUAUUACGCAAAAUGACUUUGCAGUUGGCUGGCACCAUGUUGUCAGCAUCUUACAGUACACGUGGCUGGCAAAGAAAAGGGAAGAUGGAACCACCAUUUUGAAUAUGCCUCGUCCCAGGUAGCCUUUUCCUAUUGGCACCACUGCCGGCACUCGCCCAUGCAAACCUCCAGCUUGCUUGUCUGUGUCUGCAGCUCGAUUUUACUGGCUGCUCUUAGUUAGAAAAUAAAAUGAUUUGGGGGCCGCUUUUCAUUAAAAGGAAAACCUUACCAAGAACUUCCUUACCCUCACUAUCUGCCUAAAUAAUUUCUUCUUAACUUCUAUAUCAUUACUUUACAUUAUUUACCAGUUUUUUUUAAAAACAUCUUGGGCAAAAACGUAAUAAAUUUAUUGAAAAAUGUUAUGUUAGUGCUCCCUUUUUUCAUGUUUUGCUGUCUUCAUAGUUUGCAAAUAAAGGCCUUUAAAAUACUAUAUUUAAAUAACAGCAACUAUAUUAGAUUAAUUAUUGUAAUAAAUGCUUCCCUGAUUAAUACAUUUUCCUCAUAUUUUUUAUUUAAUAAAGACAAAUCAAAGGAAUUAUUUAACAAUUUUUGCACAACUAUUCUUAACUGACAAAGAUGAUUUGUUUAAAAGGAUCUUCAGGGUAGCAAAGAUACAUGCUAAGAGGGUAACACCAGGAAAAAAGACAAAUACAUUCUACUACAAGAAAAUGCUUCAAGACCAAAAAUAUUAAUUCAAUAAGAAAAUAUUUCAUAUAUCUUUUAUGAGAGAAACUAUUAAUUAACUCACUUCUGUAAUCCAGUUACGUGGCAUAUAUUCCUUUUUCUAGUUUAUCAUGCAAAAGUUUGGAAAGAUUUUCUCUAAACAGAGCAAGUCAGUGCUAACGGUUUCAAGUCAGGGCUGGCAGUCAGCCUGGAAGAGCAUGCUCAGAAGGCCGUUUACACUUACCUGACCCCUGCCUGAUACUCUCACCUGCUCCAAAAGGGUUCAGUUAAUUUCUAUUACUAAUGAAUUAUCUCUUAUACUUACUUAAUAGACAUAUGAAUUACUACAAAUAUACCUAUAAAUUAACAGGAUAUCAUUCAAUAUGGAGGACAGCAGCUGGAACCUAAUGACACCCUGGAGGUCUCUUGGUUACUGUUUUUAGGAAACAGAAAAAAACCUGCCUCAUUCCAGGUAAAACAUAAAAAUAACACUUUAACAGAAAGUGUUCAUCCUGCCUGUAUGCUUCCCCUAAAAUGCCGUGUGCGCAACACAGAAUUAAAUAAAAUUAGGACAUAAGAAUUAACAAGUACACCCAAAGCAGACAAGAAGUUUAAGUAAGGACUGCUUCCUGUAAUCCUAUCCAUAUUGUUUCAUAGACAAUUUUCAGAACAUAAAAAUACAAUAAAUAAUGGAAAUACAGGGAUUCAUUUAUUACUUUUUGCUUUACAAUCAAAGACACCCAAUAAUAUUUCUAUUUACUUCUUAUAAAAGAUUAUCAAUUUACUUUUAAAACAAAAUAAAAAAGUAUAAUUAAAAAAAAUUCCAAAUCAAUUCCUACAGACAGCACAGAAAAGGGGGAAAAGGAAAUUAUUUUCCCUGCUUUCAAGCUUUAUUACACAGGUUCAAAAAUGAUUAUUUUAUGCCAUCCUUAAGUCAAAGGACAUACUGCCAUGCUUCUCUGCACUGAGUCUUAGGACAUGCUAAUGUUGCCAAAUCAAAUUUAAAUAUAGUCCCAAUGGCAUCACAAUUUACAAAUGCAUAUGCCAGGAUUAAGGAUGAAUAGGGGGAAAAACUCCAAAUGUUCUAGAAUGCAGUUUAAUCAAAUGAGUUAAAUGAAAUAAGAAACAUUUAAUUUAGUAGUCUAUCCUGUUAAAUAAUGAGUUUGUGUAGAAAACGUAGUCAAACAGAGCUAAAAAUCAUGUCUAGUAAAUGACACAAAUGAUUUCUCAAAUGUUCAAGUUUGACUUAAGUUCAAAGUCUAGUAGGUGGGGAUUAAUGAUCUAUAUACUCUUUAUACUAAUUUUAGAACUUUAAAUUCCAGAAAGACAAACUAAUUUAUUCAUUAGUUUACUUUUGACAACAGAAUUCUAAACACACAGAAUUAAUGCAGUGGCCUCAGCACCCUCCCAGUUAACAUUUCUUUAAGUCAGAUUACAAGAACAGUAAAACAUUUCAGAAGACACACACUAUGCACUUCAUAGGUCUGCCCAAGUUGUCCCCAACUCUUUUGCAAGACACAAAGACAAUUCACCUGAUUCUAAGUCUAUUCAGCAGAAAUACAAAAAUCAUGCAAAUGUUAGCAUGGUUUCAACACAUUAUGGAAAUACAUUUGGAGAGAUGGAGUACUCGAUGUAUAUUAUGUGGGCCACUUUAAAUCAAAGGCAUCAUUAUUUAUUCAACUUUCAGACAUUGCCAUGGUAACUUAUACCUUUAUAUCAGGUAGGUCCAAGGCCAGAGACUUUAGUAUCAUUCCAAAGAAUAUAGAGAUAUUUAUAUACAUAUUUCUUUUAAAAUAAUAUUUAAGAGUUUUACUACAGAAAGUCUGGCUUCAACAUGGAAGCAUUUUUCCUUUUCAAGAUUAUACACCUGCAUGAAAGUAGGUGAUUUCCUCUACAUUUAGUUUUUUCACAAUAGCAAAAUAGACUUCUUAUAUAUUGCAUUUAAAUUGACAAGAAAUGUAAGAUGUAAAGUUCCAUGUAACUUUUUGUAUUGUGAACUGUUCUCUUUAAACAUACUCCAGAUACAUUGCUGAUUAUUUAAUACAGUACAACUUGAUCAACUUAAUUAGAAGUGUUAUGAUGAACAAACUGUGAAACCAAAUGUAUGUUAAAACAGUAGGUAGAGCUAACUAUUAUGACUAAAAGGGAAUUUUAAUGUAUCCUCAAAAUAUACAUCAAUUUUCUUGUUAUUACUUGUUUCUAUAAUGCAUUUCUUUCUAAACCUAAAACUAUAUGUAUAAAAAAUAAAUAUCUUCAAA